GUAGGGUGCGAGCGUUGUCCGGAUUUAUUGGGCGUAAAGGGCUCGUAGGUGGUUGAUCGCGUCGGAAGUGUAAUCUUGGGGCUUAACCCUGAGCGUGCUUUCGAUACGGGUUGACUUGAGGAAGGUAGGGGAGAAUGGAAUUCCUGGUGGAGCGGUGGAAUGCGCAGAUAUCAGGAGGAACACCAGUGGCGAAGGCGGUUCUCUGGGCCUUUCCUGACGCUGAGGAGCGNAAGCGUGGGGAGCGAACAGGCUUAGAUACCCUGGUAGUCCACGCUGUAAACGGUGGGUACUAGGUGUGGGGUCCAUUCCACGGGUUCCGCGCCGUASUAACGCUUUAAGUACCCCGCC
Molecule: ribosomal RNA, 348 nt
Filed under: uncultured bacterium
Lineage: Bacteria
Description: bacterial SSU rRNA
Rfam family: Bacterial small subunit ribosomal RNA
Source: RNAcentral